GACGAACGCUGGCGGCGUGCUUAACACAUGCAAGUCGAACGAAGAGCGAUGGAAGCUUGCUUCUCUCAAUCUUAGUGGCGAACGGGUGAGUAACGCGUAAUCAACCUGCCCUUCAGAGGGGGACAACAGUUGGAAACGACUGCUAAUACCGCAUACGAUCUAAUCUCGGCAUCGAGGAUGGAUGAAAGGUGGCCUCUACAUGUAAGCUAUCACUGAAGGAGGGGAUUGCGUCUGAUUAGCUAGUUGGAGGGGUAACGGCCCACCAAGGCGAUGAUCAGUAGCCGGUCUGAGAGGAUGAACGGCCACAUUGGGACUGAGACACGGCCCAGACUCCUACGGGAGGCAGCAGUGGGGAAUCUUCCGCAAUGGACGAAAGUCUGACGGAGCAACGCCGCGUGAGUGAUGACGGCCUUCGGGUUGUAAAGCUCUGUUAAUCGGGACGAAAGGCCUUCUUGCGAAUAGGGAGAAGGAUUGACGGUACCGGAAUAGAAAGCCACGGCUAACUACGUG
Molecule: ribosomal RNA, 510 nt
Filed under: uncultured bacterium
Lineage: Bacteria
Description: partial 16S ribosomal RNA
Rfam family: Bacterial small subunit ribosomal RNA
Source: RNAcentral